AAGGGCGUUGAAGCAUGAUCGUAAGGACAUGUGGAGCGCUUAGAAGUGAGAAUGCCGGUGUGAGUAGCGAAAGACGGGUGAGAAUCCCGUCCACCGAUUGACUAAGGUUUCCAGAGGAAGGCUCGUCCGCUCUGGGUUAGUCGGGUCCUAAGCUGAGGCCGACAGGCGUAGGCGAUGGAUAACAGGUUGAUAUUCCUGUACCACCUAUAAUCGUUUUAAUCGAUGGGGGGACGCAGUAGGAUAGGCGAAGCGUGCGAUUGGAUUGCACGUCUAAGCAGUAAGGCUGAGUAUUAGGCAAAUCCGGUACUCAUUAAGGCUGAGCUGUGAUGGGGAGAAGACAUUGUGUCUUCGAGUCGUUGAUUUCACACUGCCGAGAAAAGCCUCUAGAUAGAAAAUAGGUGCCCGUACCGCAAACCGACACAGGUAGUCAAGAUGAGAAUUCUAAGGUGAGCGAGCGAACUCUCGUUAAGGAACUCGGCAAAAUGACCCCGUAACUUCGGGAGAAGGGGUGCUCUUUAGGGUUAACGCCCAGAAGAGCCGCAGUGAAUAGGCCCAAGCGACUGUUUAUCAAAAACACAGGUCUCUGCUAAACCGUAAGGUGAUGUAUAGGGGCUGACGCCUGCCCGGUGCUGGAAGGUUAAGAGGAGUGGUUAGCUUCUGCGAAGCUACGAAUCGAAGCCCCAGUAAACGGCGGCCGUAACUAUAACGGUCCUAAGGUAGCGAAAUUCCUUGUCGGGUAAGUUCCGACCCGCACGAAAGGCGUAACGAUUUGGGCACUGUCUCAAC
Molecule: ribosomal RNA, 786 nt
Filed under: Staphylococcus aureus
Lineage: Bacteria; Bacillati; Bacillota; Bacilli; Caryophanales; Staphylococcaceae
Description: partial 23S ribosomal RNA
Rfam family: Bacterial large subunit ribosomal RNA
Source: RNAcentral